This 501-nucleotide ribosomal RNA is filed under the name uncultured bacterium. Its description in RNAcentral is "partial 16S ribosomal RNA". It matches the Rfam family "Bacterial small subunit ribosomal RNA", at positions 29 to 523 of the family's 1533-position model. The record is from RNAcentral.
AUUGAACGCUGGCGGCAUGCCUUACACAUGCAAGUCGAACGGCAGCACGGGUGCUUGCACCUGGUGGCGAGUGGCGAACGGGUGAGUAAUACAUCGGAACGUACCUUAUCGUGGGGGAUAACGCAGCGAAAGCUGUGCUAAUACCGCAUACGCCCUGAGGGGGAAAGCGGGGGAUCGCAAGACCUCGCGCGAUUAGAGCGGCCGAUGCCUGAUUAGCUAGUUGGUGGGGUAAAAGCCCACCAAGGCGACGAUCAGUAGCUGGUCUGAGAGGACGAUCAGCCACACUGGGACUGAGACACGGCCCAGACUCCUACGGGAGGCAGCAGUGGGGAAUAUUGGACAAUGGGGGCAACCCUGAUCCAGCAAUGCCGCGUGAGUGAAGAAGGCCUUCGGGUUGUAAAGCUCUUUUGUCAGGGAAGAAACACCGGCUCUAACACAGUCCGGGAAUGACGGUACCUGCAGAAAAAGCACCGGCUAACUACGUGCCAGCCGCCGCCGUAA